UUCCAGAUAGCUCAGUUGGUUAGACUGAGCAUGGUGCUGGUAAUAGCAAAGUCGCAGGUUCGAGCCCCAUUUGGGACA
Molecule: non-coding RNA, 78 nt
Organism: Podarcis lilfordi (Lilford's wall lizard)
Lineage: Eukaryota; Metazoa; Chordata; Lepidosauria; Squamata; Lacertidae
Source: the annotation of a GenBank genome assembly